CUACGGGAGGCUCCAGUGGGGAAUAUUGGACAAUGGGGGAAACCCUGAUCCAGCAAUGCCGCGUGUGUGAAGAAGGCCUGCGGGUUGUAAAGCACUUUCGGUUGGGAGGACUGCUUCUAGCACUAAUAUUGUUGGAAGUUGACGUUACCUUCAGAAGAAGCACCGGCUAACUCCGUGCCAGCAGCCGCGGUAAUACGGAGGGUGCAAGCGAUAAUCGGAAUUACUGGGCGUAAAGCGCGCGUAGGCGGCUAGAUCAGUCGGGUGUGAAAGCCCCGGGCUUAACCUGGGAACUGCAUCCGAUACUGGCUAGCUUGAGUACAGGAGAGGAGAGUGGAAUUCCACUUGUAGCGGUGAAAUGCGUAGAUAUGUGGAGGAACACCAAUGGCGAAGGCAGCUCUCUGGCCUGAUACUGACGCUGAGGUGCGAAAGCGUGGGGAGCAAACAGAAUUAGAUACCCGCGUAGUC
This 465-nucleotide ribosomal RNA is filed under the name uncultured bacterium. Its description in RNAcentral is "partial 16S ribosomal RNA". It matches the Rfam family "Bacterial small subunit ribosomal RNA", at positions 339 to 795 of the family's 1533-position model. The record is from RNAcentral.